UCUGGCUCCAGAGGGACUGGGGUCUGGGGCCUGUCACCUGGUCCUGCCUGUGUUUCCUGGGAGGAGGACCUGGUUGAUAGAAGAAUUUAUCUCGUAGUCUUAACAUCCACUGUAAUUCCAAACUUUGAGGACGAUAGAGAUCAGUGGGCUUUGACUGCCCAGCAUGCAGUCUCCAUUCUUAGGUGGGUUCCCAAGCCUGUAAAAUGUAAGCCUUAUGCUGCUGAGGGCCAUCUUGCCACCCUGAGGGAAACGCUGCCUGAGAAUGAAACAAGCAUAAGUAAAAGCUGAGCUGUGAGAUGGAGCAAGAUGAAGGCCACAUGACAUCUUUGGAGCACCUGGAUCUAACUGUGCCUUAAGCUAGUCUAACCCUGAACAUUUCAUCAUUUCAUUGACAUGAGCCCAGGUUUUCUUUUUUUUUGGAUGGAGUCUUGCUCUGUCGCCCAGGCUGGAGUGCAGUAGCUCAAUCUCGGCUCACUGCAAGCUCCACCUCCCGGGUUCACGCCAUUCUCCUGCCUUAGCCUCCCAAGUAGCUGGGACAACAGGCGCCCACCACCACUCCCAGCUAAUUUUUUGUAUUUUUAGUAGAGACGGGGUUUUACCAUGUUAGCCGGGAUGGUCUUGAUCUCCUGACCUCAUGAUCCGCCCGCCUCGGCCUCCCAAAGUGCUGGGAUUACAGGUGUGAGCCACUGCACCCAGCCCUCAGGUUUUCCCUUUUUUUACCCCUCCUUUUGAAAAUUUGAUGUGGAAUUUUGCCACCUGCAGCCAGAAGAGUUUUAACUAAUCAGUGCCAUAAAUUUUAUAUAGUUCUCCUUGCAAAAUGUGGAUCAGCCUUUCUCAGCAAAUCCUUUGUCAUAAAGUGCUGAAUUGUAAGUUUGUCAUGAGAAUCACAUGAGAUCAUGCAUGUGAAGAACCUGGCAUUAUCCUCCUCAUAGAAAAAAACCAGUAAAUAUUAACUACAGGAAGCAAGGAAGGAGUGGGGUGAGGGGAAGAAGAAGGGGUACUGAUUUAAAAGAACCCUGGAGUCCUAAGGAUAAUCUAGGAACCCUCAGACCCAAUCCGAUACCCCUAUUCUAAAUGCUCCUAGUGCCCUGUACCUUCCCCUCAUAAGCCUUCAUUAUCAUUGUAAUGAUAUGUUUAUGUAAUAUUUUGAUUAAUGUCUCUCCUUCACUGACCUAGCAGUUCUAGCAGGGCAGUGAUUUUGCUGUGUUGCAUCCCCAGCACCUAGUCUGGUAUGUGGCAUUCAGCAUAUGUUUAUUGAAUGAAUGGCCAUGUGGUUAUUCAGAUCCUCCUUGAUUAUUGGGGUUAGGAUUGUGGCAGAAGUGGCAAAAUCAGGGAGAGUAGUCCCUGUCCCCUCUGUAUCUUAUACACUGCCCACACUCCCAACACACAUACACAUACAGAGAAUUUUGUCUCAAUUAGAUAAUUAACUUCUGCUUGGUUGUAAACCAAACCACUGGUUCUUAAACUUUCAUUGGAUCAUUUUAUUGAAGAAUUAAAUAGUGUGGUUCUGGCCUAAUGUCUGGAAAGCCUUGCAGAGGAGUGGAUUAGGUCUUUGUGAUAAACAGGCAGCCUUCCCUGCUCCUGUGUCUUUAUAAAAUCUAUUUAACUGGAGUAGUCCACCCUCCCUCAGGCUCUUACAGGAAUAUGUUGGAGGCUGUAGGAAGGUGGGAAACCGAGAGGGAAAGGACUGGGCCGCUGGAGACUUCACUCAUUCCCUAGCAAGAAACAAAAGCAGUAAAAGGUGGCCCGAGGACAACCUGAAGCUCACUCCUUCAGCACUUUUGGCUGGAGGUCACUUGUUGGAGCCCCACUCAGAGCUCAGCACACCACCCCACCAGCAGCCUCCUCCUCCCAGCUGAGGCUGCAUUUCAUCCCUUCCCCCAGCCUGCUUUCCCUGAGAUAGGGGAGUGUUUCCCAGGGCCCAUGUGACUUCCACUGGCAAGUGACGAUUACCAAUGGUUUACUAGUCAGUGAAACUACCAAAGGCUUUUGUGCUGUAGUAAUCCUUUUCCUGUUUAAAACUCUGGGGAUUUUCUAAUGUUGCCAAUAGUUUUUCAAGUCAGCAAUUACUGUGUGGAUUAUGUAAUGGCUCGGUAUUAAAAAUAGAAAAGACUGG
Molecule: long non-coding RNA, 2116 nt
Filed under: Homo sapiens (human)
Lineage: Eukaryota; Metazoa; Chordata; Mammalia; Primates; Hominidae
Description: non-protein coding PCBP1-AS1:180
Source: RNAcentral